UACGGGGGGAGCAAGCGUUGUUCGGAUUUACUGGGCGUAAAGGGCGCGUAGGCGGCCACCGCAAGUCGGUUGUGAAAUCUCCAGGCUUAACCCGGAAAGGUCAAUCGAUACUGCGGGGCUAGAGUGCAGAAGGGGCAACUGGAAUUCUCGGUGUAGCGGUGAAAUGCGUAGAUAUCGAGAGGAACACCUGCGGCGAAGGCGGGUUGCUGGGCUGACACUGACGCUGAAGCGCGAAAGCUAGGGGAGCGAACGGG
RNAcentral lists this ribosomal RNA (254 nucleotides) under uncultured bacterium. Its description in RNAcentral is "partial 16S ribosomal RNA". It matches the Rfam family "Bacterial small subunit ribosomal RNA", at positions 524 to 776 of the family's 1533-position model. The record is from RNAcentral.